Molecule: non-coding RNA, 300 nt
Organism: Vicia faba (fava bean)
Lineage: Eukaryota; Viridiplantae; Streptophyta; Magnoliopsida; Fabales; Fabaceae
Source: the annotation of a GenBank genome assembly
AUGCCCUGUUUCACGCUAAAAUCAUCCAACAACAAUAACACAACCUCUCAUCUUCUCACAUUAUUUCCCCGUUUCAUCUCUCUCUCUCUCUCUCUGCUUUUUCCCUCACACGAUUUUUUCUGUUCCAAAAUCAACAAAAAUAUGAAGAACAACAAUCGUAUUCUCUUUGUUCACACAUCCACGGUUUCUAUUGAUUUCUCUUCAUCCCAGUCACUCGGUUCUCCUUCUUUCAUUAUCGUAACAAAAAAAAAGAGACCAGAAUCAACAAAACUCGACCGAUUCUGGAAAUCAGGAAUAUAG